RNAcentral lists this ribosomal RNA (404 nucleotides) under Clostridium botulinum. Its description in RNAcentral is "bacterial LSU rRNA". It matches the Rfam family "Bacterial large subunit ribosomal RNA", at positions 758 to 1159 of the family's 2925-position model. Lineage: Bacteria; Bacillati; Bacillota; Clostridia; Eubacteriales; Clostridiaceae. The record is from RNAcentral.
AACACUGACUGGAGGACCGAACCCACUCCCGUUGAAAAGGUAGGGGAUGACUUGUGGAUCGGAGUGAAAGGCUAAUCAAGCUCGGAGAUAGCUGGUUCUCCUCGAAAGCUAUUUAGGUAGCGCCUCAUGUAUCACUCUGGGGGGUAGAGCACUGUUUCGGCUAGGGGGUCAUCCCGACUUACCAAACCGAUGCAAACUCCGAAUACCCAGAAGUGCCGAGCAUGGGAGACACACGGCGGGUGCUAACGUCCGUCGUGAAAAGGGAAACAACCCAGACCGCCAGCUAAGGUCCCAAAGUUGUGGUUAAGUGGUAAACGAUGUGGGAAGGCUUAGACAGCUAGGAGGUUGGCUUAGAAGCAGCCAUCCUUUAAAGAAAGCGUAAUAGCUCACUAGUCGAGUCGGCC